AACGUUGUUGCAGUUAAAAAGCUCGUAGUUGAAAUGAAGGGUAGUUGUGUAAUGAAUACAUUCGUGUAUUUUGUUAUUCUACUACCCUCCUUCUAAAUUCGAUAUAUGAGUAUUAAUUUACUUGUAUAUGGUUUUAGACGUUUACUGUGAGAAAAUUAGAGUGUUCAAAGCAGGCAUUUGCUUGAAUAUAUUAGCAUGGAAUAAUCAUGUAUGAUUUUCAUGAUGUAUUUGAUUGGUUUGGUUCAUGAGAAUAAGAUUAAAAGGGACAGUUGGGGGUAUUCAUAUUCAAUAGUCAGAGGUGAAAUUCUCGGAUUUAUGGAAGAUGAA
Molecule: ribosomal RNA, 327 nt
Filed under: Blastocystis sp.
Lineage: Eukaryota; Bigyra; Opalinata; Blastocystidae
Description: SSU rRNA
Rfam family: Eukaryotic small subunit ribosomal RNA
Source: RNAcentral